GAUGAAGAACGUAGCGAAAUGCGAUACGUAAUGUGAAUUGCAGAAUUCAGUGAAUCAUCGAAUCUUUGAACGCAUAUUGCGCUCUCUGGUAUUCCGGAGAGCAUGCUUGUUUGAGUAUCAGUAAACACCUCAACUCCCUUUUCUUUUUUGAAAUUGGAGCUGGACUUGAGUGAUCCCAACGCUUUCUUCCAAGAAAGUGGCGGGUUGCUUGAAAUGCAGGUGCAGCUGAACUUUUCUCUGAGCUAUAAGCAUAUCUAUUUAGUCUGCCUAAAAAACAGAUUAUUACCUUUGCUGCAGCUAACAUAAAGGAGACUAGUUCUUGUGCUGACUGAUGCAGGAUUCACAGAGACAGCUUCGGCUGACUUUGUAAACUCGAUCUCAAAUCAAGUAAGACUACCCGCUGAACUUAAGCAUAUAAUAAGCGGAGGA
RNAcentral lists this unclassified non-coding RNA (429 nucleotides) under soil metagenome. RNAcentral describes it as "partial contains 5.8S ribosomal RNA, internal transcribed spacer 2, and large subunit ribosomal RNA". The stretch from base 1 to 120 matches the Rfam family "5.8S ribosomal RNA", at positions 35 to 154 of the family's 154-position model. The record is from RNAcentral.